This 253-nucleotide ribosomal RNA is filed under the name uncultured bacterium. RNAcentral's name for it is "partial 16S ribosomal RNA". It matches the Rfam family "Bacterial small subunit ribosomal RNA", at positions 524 to 776 of the family's 1533-position model. The record is from RNAcentral.
UACGUAGGGACCGAGCGUUGUCCGGAAUCAUUGGGCGUAAAGAGCGUGUAGGCGGCCUUUUAAGUCCUGCGUGAAAUCCUGCGGCUCAACCGCAGACGGUCGUGGGAAACUGGAAGGCUAGAGUGCGGGAGAGGAGAGUGGAAUUCCCGGUGUAGCGGUGAAAUGCGCAGAUGUCGGGAAGAACACCCGUGGCGAAGGCGGCUCUCUGGAACGCAACUGACGCUGAGACGCGAAAGCGUGGGGAGCAAACAGG